This 313-nucleotide ribosomal RNA is filed under the name Amblyomma sp. USNTC 118150(IX). RNAcentral's name for it is "partial 12S ribosomal RNA". Lineage: Eukaryota; Metazoa; Arthropoda; Arachnida; Ixodida; Ixodidae. The record is from RNAcentral.
GUAAAUAACAAUUACGAAAACAAAAAAUUAUGGCGGUACUUUAAGCUUUUCAGAGGAAUUUGCUCUUUAAUGGAUAAAACACCAAAAUCUCACUAAAUUUUGCGAAAACAGUUUGUAUACACUAUGUAAAUAAUAACUUAUUAUUAUUAUUUUAAAUUUUUAAAUUAAAAGUAAAUUAAGUCAUGGUGCAGCAAAAAAUUUAGGAUGAAGUGAAUUACAUUUCUUUUAAGAAAGAAAAAAUGAAAUUUAAAUUAGGAUUUGAAAGUAAGAUUUAAAUAUUAUGUAAAUUUGAAUAGAGUUCUAAAGUAUGUAC